CUUCUGGGGAGUACUUGGAAUCAACCCGCUCGUCCCAUGACGUGCCGUGAAGAAUGACAGUUACGCCGCAAAAUAUCAGCCCCGAACAUGAAAUCCUUCCUUAAUGAAGUUAUUAGCUCAUUGAUAAUUAAGGAUCUUCUUCCAUGUCAUCGGGAUCGGGAACCAUAAUGAAGUGCUUUGGAUAUACAAGGUUGUGUGGGAUGCUCCUGUUGUAUGAUUUGAUGAAUCUUGGAAUUCAAGUAUUUGUGUAGCACUGGGUCUAGAGAGAGGCUGACAUUCAGUGAAGUACCAGGUUCAAAUAAUUAGAAGAUUUUAAUUCAGGGCAUGAAACCCCCAGGUGUGUCUGGGUACAGACUCAGUGCGAAGAAAAGAGUAAAAGCGAGAAGCUCUCGGAGGGCGCUGACUCACUCUCCUCAGGGAAAAGCAGUCGACCUGUGAAGCUUUGCAGGGAAGAUGCUAAGGCCAGUUUGGGGGAAACGUGAAGUGAAAAAGACAAGAGAAAGACACAGGAACUUCCCCUACUAUUUACCACCUUACAAUGCAAGCCUUCUCUCUUCAUUCUCUGCUUUCAGUACUGAGCUCCGAGUCCUGCUAGACUAAUAUUUAGACACAUUUUGCUUUGAUAAUUAGGAUGAAGGGAAUAGGACAACUUCAUAUUUGGGGCUCCUGGAAGAUCAGAUGUGAAUACAGAUAUUAGAUCUGGAUCCGUGUGUACCGUGGGUCCCAUGGAGCAACCUCCAUAGUCAUUUCUCAGGCUCCUAAAUCAGGAGCUUCAAAGGUAACUCCUGGGGUGAUUUUUAGUGACUUUCCAUCAGUGUGGGUAUAAUUGACAUUGUCAAUUUUCCACUGGCUUCUUUGUAUAGUCUUCUGGUUUCCGGGUAUCCACUGGACUUGAGCUGACCCUAGACUGAUCUCAUGGCAUCUUUGGGGGACCUGAAUCAACAGCUUCCAGCUCAGAACAGUGAUUCCACCUCUCUUGGAACAGUCAUAUCUGCUGAGAAGUUUAAGGAAGGAACCUUGAGAAAGCAUCAGAGGUGGCUUUGGAGGUGGAAUCUAAAGAAACUAGAGGAGAGAAGAAAGGAAGAAUGGAUUACAAAAGAUGAGCAAGAUGCCUGGAAUUUCACACGUACAUCAUCUCUUUGGGUCACAGAGAAAGCCAUGCUUGAUUAACACUGAGGAUUUGCGUGCGACCUAUGGCUGGUGUCCAAUGACUUCUCCCAUUUUCAGAACACUUCUGUAAUGUUGCCGUCAGUGGUGAAUAUAUGACAUCCAAGGAAAGGUGAGGCCCUGACACUAAGAGGAAUACAAUGACCAGUCCAAGAGGACAACCCAGAACUGGACUUCUGGGGCCUGACUGAACUGGAUUGAGGUAUCGGACACACUUUUACAGAGGCUAUUUAGGAGGUAGAUUUUAUGAGCCUCAUUUUGCCAAUGAUAACACUAGGGCACAGAGAGGUUCAGCAACCCGCCCAAGGCCACACAGCCAGGAAGGAGCAGGAUCUGACCCCAGGCUGCCUGACUCCGGAGCCCAUGCUUGCAAACAUUCCACUGAACCAGGUCGUAAUCCCUGCUGAAUGAUUUCAGCUCUCCUGCUGUCUUCCCCCACCUCACUGUCUCUCGAUGGACGUUCACAUUUCCCGGCUGGCCCAGAAGCUGCGAUAGGGUGUUAUGAGCUGUUAGGUUAAGAGGGGUGAAGCCCUGUGAAAAGAAAACACACUUGCUCCCCUUCCUCAGCUGCGCUGGUCUUUCCUCCAGCUGAUCUUUCUCCUGUUAUAUAAAUGGAAUGUGAUACAAAUGUUUCCACCAUGAGUUUCCUUUCAAAAGAUGAA
Molecule: long non-coding RNA, 1829 nt
Filed under: Sus scrofa (pig)
Lineage: Eukaryota; Metazoa; Chordata; Mammalia; Artiodactyla; Suidae
Description: lncRNA (ENSSSCG00040008470.1)
Source: RNAcentral